GGACUGAGGAUCGGCGCUGAAUAUUGGCAUUCUGCAGGCAUCGGUCGCACUUUUGGAUGAAGUCUGCUGCAUCUUUUUGAAGUGUAAGUGAUGAGAAUACAAAAUGUCAUAUUUUUCUUUCUUAAUGUUUAGUCUUGUAUACUUAUUUUAUGCCUAAAUGUACUCAUUAUUCUUAUAUUUUAAUUUAGGAUGCAAAUGGAAGCGUUAAGUACAAAACGAAGCUAAUUGGGUGAUUUUGGACAGUUUCGACAUUGCUUCGUAAUCUGAGCAUAACGUUUUCAUCCGAGCUCUGAUUGAGAUGAUUCAAGAUGCUGUGGAAUGCCAAGAAAACGCUCUACAACUUUUAUGUUUGAGUUUUGAUAGAUAAUGGCUUUAUCAAGGUCAAAAUUGGUCUCGAAGUUGCUGCACGUCCUUAGCCUGCAAUACGUGGAUUUGACUCGGUCAAUUUUCAGAAA
This 455-nucleotide long non-coding RNA is filed under the name Phoenix dactylifera (date palm). RNAcentral's name for it is "long non-coding RNA (PDAC_LNC018815)". Lineage: Eukaryota; Viridiplantae; Streptophyta; Magnoliopsida; Arecales; Arecaceae. The record is from RNAcentral.